GACAGAGGUGGCAAGCGUUGCUCGGAGUUACUGGGCAUAAAGGGCGCGUAGGCGGUCGAGUGCGUCGGUGGUGAAAUCCCCGGGCUCAACCCGGGAACUGCCAUCGAUACGGCCCGACUUGAGUGCGGGAGGGGAGAGUGGAACUCCUGGUGGAGCGGUGAAAUGCGUAGAUAUCAGGAGGAACGCCGGUGGCGAAAGCGACUCUCUGGUCCGCAACUGACGCUGAGGCGCGAAAGCCAGGGGAGCAAACGGG
RNAcentral lists this ribosomal RNA (253 nucleotides) under uncultured prokaryote. Its description in RNAcentral is "partial 16S ribosomal RNA". It matches the Rfam family "Bacterial small subunit ribosomal RNA", at positions 524 to 776 of the family's 1533-position model. The record is from RNAcentral.